Molecule: ribosomal RNA, 749 nt
Filed under: uncultured bacterium
Lineage: Bacteria
Description: bacterial SSU rRNA
Rfam family: Bacterial small subunit ribosomal RNA
Source: RNAcentral
GAUGAACGCUGGCGGCGUGCCUAACACAUGCAAGUCGAGCGAGAAGUAAAGAAAUGAAGCUUCGGUAGAUUUUCAUUAUGGAAAGCGGCGGACGGGUGAGUAACGCGUAGGCAACCUGCCCUGUACAGGGGGAUAGCCACCCGAAAAGGUGAUUAAUACCCCAUGAUGCAAGAGAUACACAUGUAUCACUUGUCAAAGAUUUAUCGGUAUGGGAUGGGCCUGCGUCUGAUUAGCUAGUUGGUAGGGUAACGGCUUACCAAGGCAACGAUCAGUAGCCGACCUGAGAGGGUGAUCGGCCACAUUGGAACUGAGACACGGUCCAAACUCCUACGGGAGGCAGCAGUGGGGAAUAUUGCACAAUGGGGGAAACCCUGAUGCAGCAACGCCGCGUGAAGGAAGAAGGCCUUCGGGUUGUAAACUUCUGUCCUAGGGGAAGAAACAAAUGACAUUACCCUUGGAGGAAGCCCCGGCUAACUACGUGCCAGCAGCCGCGGUAAUACGUAGGGGGCGAGCGUUAUCCGGAAUUAUUGGGCGUAAAGAGUGCGUAGGUGGCAUCUUAAGCGCAGGGUUUAAGGCAAUGGCUCAACCAUUGUUCGCCUUGCGAACUGGGGUGCUUGAGUGCAGGAGGGGAAAGUGGAAUUCCUAGUGUAGCGGUGAAAUGCGUAGAUAUUAGGAGGAACACCAGUGGCGAAGGCGACUUUCUGGACUGUUACUGACACUGAGGCACGAAAGCGUGGGGAGCAAACAGG